Molecule: long non-coding RNA, 1526 nt
Organism: Panthera uncia (snow leopard)
Lineage: Eukaryota; Metazoa; Chordata; Mammalia; Carnivora; Felidae
Exons: 3
Source: RefSeq, a predicted model, not a curated record
UUAGGCCCAGUUUCCUUUCCCUCUCCUUGCCUUUAUUUAUUUACUUAUUAUUUAUUUAUUUAUUUAUAUUUUUAAAUUUACAUCCAAGGUAGUUAGCAUAUAGUGCAAUAAGGAUCUCAGGAGUAGGAUCCAGGGAUUCAUCCCCUACGUAGACUACCCAGUGCUCAUCCUAACCCCGCCUUGCCUUUAAGUUGGGGUGUUCUCGGGGCACCUGGGUGGCUCAGUCGGUUAGGCAUCCGACUUCAGCUCAGGUCAUGAUCUCACAGUGUGUGAGUUCGGCCCAAUUAUCGGGCUCUGUGCUGACAGCUCAGAGCCUGGAACCUGGUUCGGAUUCUGUGUGUGUGUGUGUGUGUGUGUGUGUGUCUGCCUCUCCCCUCCUCGUGCUCUCUCCGUCUCUGUCUCUCUCUCUCAAAGAUAAUAAACAUUUUUAAACAUUUCAAAAAAAAAUUAAAAUAAAGAUAUAAAAAAAAGAAAGAAAAUAAAUAAAUUGGGGUGUUCUUUCCCUUCCUCACCCCCAAGUGCCCUGUGUGGGUAGAACCCCUGCAGGAAACAGAUGGCGUGCCGUGGGCAGAUUGGGUCAUGUGAGGAGAGUGUGAAAAAGAGCGAUUUACAAAGGUGUGUGGGGCAGGUGUUGGGAAACCCUGAGGUGCAGUGCUAUACCCUGGGGCUAGCAACAGUGGGAGAAUUACCUGGCUCGGGCCUGAGGAAUAGAGAAGGGGGCAGGGACUGGAACCGGAUCAGUGUGGAGAAGCCUGCCUGACAGGAGCUGUGACCUUCAUGGGAGAAAAGCAAUCUGGCCUGUGAUCACCCCACGCGGAGGGAGCCAGAGGACUAAGUGCCCUGGAAGCUCUCUCUUUUCCACCCUCGGAUCUGAACCCCUUGGCUGAACCCAAUGCGGAGCCAGAAGGCAGGGAGUCUGAAGUGAUGCAGUCCUCGAGGAUCAGCGUGUGGGGGCGCAGAGCAAGAUGGAGAAUCUUGGGGAGUGGCGCUGGGGAGGCAGAGGAAGGCGCCCGCACCGUCAUGGCAGGACCGUGCCUUGUCCCCUAGCUUCACUGACCAUCUUCUCCGUGAUGAUGCCCAUGAAGCCAGUACAGACUGCGCUCUGAGCUCCAGGCCAGGGGAUCCAUAGCCUUCCAGAUAUACUCCCAGGAUCUCCCAGGAGCCCAGGAGCUGAAUAUCACUCGUGUGACCGCAGGAAAAUGACUGUGACCUUUCCAGCCUCUGAAUCCCACCCGGCCAUAGCUCUCCUCCCAGAUCCACUCACGAAGUUUCCAAGAGACACAGAUGCCCACAUAUUUCCCAGACAUAAAAAAAGCUGAAAGGAUUAAUCAUCAGCAGACCUGCACUACAAGAAAUGUUAAAGGAAGUCCUUCUGGCAGAAGAAAAAUGGUACCCAGUAGAAAUCUGGAUCUAUACAAAGGAACAAAUAACCCUGGAAAUGGUGGCACUGACCAGAAGACGAAGGAGGAACCCAAGAAGUGCUUGGCAAGUAACAAUGGCCUUUCACUAACCGCCCUUAUGGACUG